AGUGAACGCUGGCGGCAGGCCUAACACAUGCAAGUCGAGCGGCAGCACGGGGAGCAAUGCCUGGUGGCGAGCGGCGGACGGGUGAGGAAUACAUCGGAAUCUACCUCGUCGUGGGGGAUAACGUAGGGAAACUUACGCUAAUACCGCAUACGACCGAGAGGUGAAAGCGGGGGAUCGCAAGACCUCGCGCGAUGAGAUGAGCCGAUGUCGGAUUAGCUAGUUGGUGAGGUAAAGGCUCACCAAGGCGACGAUCUGUAGCGGGUCUGAGAGGAUGAUCCGCCACACUGGAACUGAGACACGGUCCAGACUCCUACGGGAGGCAGCAGUGGGGAAUUUUGGACAAUGGGCGCAAGCCUGAUCCAGCCAUUCCGCGUGAGUGAAGAAGGCCUC
RNAcentral lists this ribosomal RNA (390 nucleotides) under uncultured bacterium. Its description in RNAcentral is "bacterial SSU rRNA". It matches the Rfam family "Bacterial small subunit ribosomal RNA", at positions 30 to 418 of the family's 1533-position model. The record is from RNAcentral.